GUUCUUUGAGGUAUAAAGUGAUGGGUAUUCAAGGUUACAAUAACAAUGUGAAUGCGAAAGGCCCUUGGCCCGACUCGCAUUUGUGAAUUCUCGACUUUGCUAGCAGUACCAAAAGACCCUUGGGGCCCAACAGCACAAAAGCCAUUGAAAGUCCUUUUACAUGGAAUUAGGUCAUAUAAGACCCAACAACAUGUAAGCGAGUUUCCUUCGGGCCUAAAGAUCAUGUCAUUGGGCUAACUAGGCCCAACAAGCACGAUUUGAAACUUUCGGGCCCAAAGAUGGUGUAUCGACGUCUGGUGAAUUCCCGAGCGUGUAUUGACUUCCCGUAAUUUCAGCGUGUGUAUUGUAGUAUCGUCGUGUAUAAAUUUUUGAUUCAUUAUUGAUUCGAGACCGAAUCAAUUCAUUUGGUAACGAUUUUUGGUGUUGAAGGUGUAUUAUGUUUCGUCAGUAGUCGUGGUACUAGUAUUUCAUCAUGACGGAUUUAUUGUUUAAAACAUUAAAAUUUGACUUUUUGCAGCCCCUUUCUUUUGGAUAAAUUUACACUUUUGACCCUUUGUAUAAAAGAAUUUCCAUUUUAGUCCUUAAACCAUUUUUCUUGACACUUUAGUAUCAAAACUUGUUGAAAGGUAUUUUUCAGCUCAAAUUUAUUUGAAAAACAGUUUUAGUCCCUCAGAAUGAAGUUUUCUCGGCUGAAACCUCUAUUUUCGCAAAUUUUACACUUUUGGCCCAAAAUAGAAAAUUUUUGCAUCUUUGGUCCCUUUUAAAUAUGAAAAGUAUUUUUAACCCUUGAAAUGGACUUGGAGCACUAGUAGUCCCCUGUUUUACAGAAAAGUACAGUUUCAGCCCCUCUAAUUUGAAAAUCUCGCAAUUUGGGCUUUAUUGGGCCGAAAAAUUCAUUUUUGGCCCAUUAUGCUUAAAAAUUCACAUUUUAAUCCUUCAAAAGAGUAAAUUUCCAGAAAAUACAUUUUUGAAACUGUUUUGACUCAUCUCAACCAUCAGAAUUUGCAUUUUGUCAUUUUGGGCCCUUUGAAUUUAUAUUUUCAACAUUUUGAGCCCAAAAAUGGGUUUUUAGCCCAAAAAUGUUCAUAUUAACCAACUUGGUUAUUUUUCUAGAAAUGAUUUGUGUGUAAUAAUAUGAUUUAUACUUGUUUCAUACAACCUAAUGUAAAUCUCGGUUUUAAGGACUUUUUGACUAGAUCCAACACCACAAUCACAUAAGAACAUAUAUAUAAACAUAGAAAUCACACAAGGCAUACAUAUACUCAUAGAUCUACACAUUUGCUUGUACCCCCCCCACAAAACUUAUAAAAACCGAAAAAUAGGGGGUAUGAAGCUCACCUUGAGGUUUGGUUCGAUUUUGAUGAAGAGAUAUGAGAAGAUGAUGUUGUUUUUGGCCUAGCUUACUUCCUUCAAAAGAUCUUGAAGAUGUGGAUGGUUCUAAGAACAUAAUCCACAAAUAUAUGGAUGUAAGAGGAGAUAUUUGAAGAGAUCAAGAAAUUAUAUCAUAGAUCUAAGUGGGAACUUACCAAAGUUGAUGAUCUUGAAUAAGAAUUUCUUGAAGUAUCCUCUAAUUCUCGAAAAUUUAGAGGAGAGUGUAGGAGUGUUCUUGUGAGCUUUCCUUAAGAGAUUUGUAAGUAAAAUAAGUGUGUUGGUGAUUUUUGGGCCCUAUGGCCGAGAUUAAGAAGGAGAGAGGGGAAAAGAGAAGAGAGGUUUGAAGUGAUAGAAGUCUUGAUGCAUGAGAUUAGUUUUUGCAUGGAGGGUAUUUAGCAUGGGAACCCUACAUGUAAAAAUGAUGUGUCACCAUGCAAUUUACCCUCUUUUUUUACCUUGGGCCGAAAAUGGGUCUAAUGGGAUGAAGAAAAAUGGUUUUGGGAUCAAUUUCUUGGCUUUAAUCGAACUUCAUAGCCCCAAUAUUAUUUUUCGGCCCAUUGUGCUUAAGGACGAUUCACGACCCCUUUUGAAUAAAAGAAAUGGAGUUUAUAGCCCAACAAGGACUAUUAGAGAUAAAAAUGAAUUAUUUUAGGCCCACAUGGCCCAAAACAAUCUAGUUUCAUGAUUGUGGGUCCAAGUAGAGCCCAAAUAGUCGAUUUGAAAGUUUAUUGGUCCAUUAGGCCCAAUAAGAGAAUCCUAGUCCAUAAUGAAUUUGAGCCGGAAUUUCUAGGGUUUCCAACCCUUAGUUGAACAUAUGAGAUGUAUUUGAAUGAGAAUAGAGUAUAGUAAGUAUAGCCUUUUUCAAUGGAUGAGGUUUACAUGGGAAUAGAAUUUCCUAGCACAAUGCCAGUUGUGACAUCAUCCCCCCGUUAGAGGGAAUUUCGUCCUGAAAUUCUUUUGAAAGAUAGGUUCAUUAAUGAAAGAAUAGGUGGGGGUACUUCUGCUUAAUCUAGCCUUCGUGUUCACUUGUGAAUUCCGAUCUACAUUUCGCGUUCCAUUGAACCUUCACAAUCGGAAUGAGGCUUUGUUUUGUAUGCUUUAGCUUUCUAUCCAAUGCCUCGACUAGUUCUUAUAAGAACAGGAGAUUCUUGUUUAUUUCGAUCCCUUAUAAAGGAAUGAUAAGAGUUUUGCCUGAUAAACACUUUAUCAGAUUUAAUAUGCUGAACAUAGGGUGUACGUUGCUGAGCUCUACAGGCAGCUGCAGCCUAUAAGUCUUUGGACCAAUCUGAGCAAGAAACUCGAACAGUCCGAUGUAUCGUGGGUUUAGUUUUCGUUUCCUAAAGCGAAUCAUUCCUUUCCAGGGGGAUUCCUUUAAUAACACGCGAUCCCUCACUUGACAUCCUAAUGGCUUACGCCGCUUGUUAGAAUAGCUCUUCUGUCGGUCUCGCGAUGCUUGAAGUCAAGCUUUGAUUUGGGUCAUUUUCUCUGUUGUUUCGCAAAUGGUUUCUGGUCUCAUGAGAGUACUGGCGAGUGAUCUACAUUUAUGACUAUAAAUAGUUUUCGAAAGGAGCAAUCUUGAUGCUUGUGCGAUAGCUGUUUUGGUAUGAGAAGUCAAUCAAGGGAAACUGGGUAUCUCCUGACUUGUUGAACUCAAACACCCAAACUUGUCGCAUGAAUUCGAGUGGUUGAAUGGUUCGUUUGCUUUGGCUAGUGGUUUGAGGGUGGUAAGCAAUGCUCAUACUUAAUUAUGUUCCCAUAGCCUUCUGAAAUGACUGUCAAAGUCUUGAAGUAAUCUCGUUACCUCGAUUCGAGAUAAUAGAUACUGAUAUUUCAUGGAGUCUCAUGAUCUCUUUGAUAUAGAUCCAUGUAAAUCUUUUCGUCUUGUUUGAUUUCAGUAUUAGCAGGAAAUGGGCGGAUUGUGUUAACCUAUAGACGAUCACCCAGAUAACACCCCACUCAACUCUUAUAACAAUAAGCUUUGUCUUUUGACUUCGAGAGUUUUAUCCAUCCAUGCAACGAUUUCUUCGCAAUAUUCUCUGACUUUGAUGCUUUCAAGGCUGGUCGUAGAUGUUGACAGUGUUUUGUUCUUGCUUCGUGAGUAGAUGACUAUGUUAUUGAUGAAAAUAAUGAAAAGGCUGACUAGGAGUGGUUGAGAAAACUUUGUUCGUAGGGUCCAUGAACAGCAUGGGAGAAUUCGUUAGACCGGAGGGUAUCACAAUGGAUUUGAAAUGGUCGUGACGAGUUCGGGAGGCAGUUUUUGGAAUGUCGUAUUCUCGGACUCGAAGUUGAUGAUAACCGGUUCUUAGAUCUAUUUUAAAGAAGUAACUAGCUCCUUGGAGCUGGCCAAAUAGAUCGUCAGUCCGAGGAAGUGGGUAUUGAUUUUUGAUAGGGAGGUUAUUCAAUUCCCGAAAAUCGAUGUACCUUCUGAAGAAUCUGUCUUCUUGAAGAACAAGAUCGGAGCUCUUCGGGAUGAGAAGCUUGGUCUGAUGAGUCCUUUGCGCAACAAUUCUUCUCAAUUGACUGGGUAACUCGUGAAUUUUUCGGCGAGAGUAAUCCUAUAGGGUGAAUUGGCAAUUGAUGUAGUUCCCAGUAUGAGGUCGAUUUGACAUUCGACCUGUCUUUCUGGAGGUAUUCCCGGAAGUUCUUCAGGAAAUACAUCCAGAAAAUCACAUGCUAAUGGAAUACCUUGUAUGCUUACUUCAUCCUUGGUCUUGUCCACAACAAGAGUGAGGAAAACAUAGUUUUUCUGGUGCAGGCACUUCUGUGCCUUAAUGCACGAGAUAGGAAGAGAAUUGGCGGCAGGUUUGUCACCAUGGAUUAUUAGAGUUUCGUGAUUGGGAAGGUGAAGGAAAACGGCCUUCUCGCGACACAUAGUAUCAGGACGGUGGGGGCUUAACCCAACCAUGACGAUUAUCACGUCAAAACUCCUAAUAUUUACUAGCAUCAAGUCUAUUGAAAUGAAUGAUUGUUUAGUGUUAAGAUGUUCCCUACAUAAAUAUAUUUGGUUGCUUCGGUUUUCCCAUUAAUCAUCUCCACCGUUAAGGAUUAGUUUAGCCUCUAGGAUUGUUGUUUUAGUAAGGCUCGACUUUGUUACUAACGAAGCUUCGCUCAGCUUCACUAUUGAAUAAGAGGUAAGCGAAAGAGUUGUUAAGUGGGAACAUACCAGUAACAACUGUCGGGUCUUGAUCUGCUUUGCCUUAACCCAAGGUCAGGAUCAUUUCUGAUCCUUCUGCUCCUUGAUUGUUAUCCUUGGGGCAAUUGCGCCUGAAGUGACCAAUUCCUCCACACCCAUAGCAGGUGUGAAUGGUCUCAUCAUUGGUGUUGUUGUUAGGGUUGUUGCGAUUGUUUUCAUUUUCAUUUGGCUGACGAUUCUGGCAUGGAUAAGUUCUACAGAAUUUGGCAGUGUGAUUCUUUCGGUUUCAUUUGUUACAAUGCGUCUCCCGGCAGGCUCCAUUAUGAUGGAAUUUGCACUGGUUGCAUUUUGGAAGGAUUCCAACAUAUGGUCUCCUGGUUGUUGGUGUAAUAGAGGUCAUGGUCGCAUGAACAACAACAACAUGUUGCUUCCUUGAGAACCCUUGAGUGGGAUGUCCCUUUCUCUUACUUCCAGACCUCAGCUUCCUGCUCUUAAACUUGGGGUUUUGGGGUUCCUUGAUAAGUUUUCACUUGUUGGUUUCCAUGUUUAUCCCUUUGGCUGGAGUUGUCAAUGCUAUUCCCGCCUCCAUUAGGCUUGUUUGCAUUGAUUUGUGUCAUAGCAGCGGUUACUGCCGCCAUUACAGCAGCUUGGAAUGUAGCAGAGUCCAUCUGCAGGAGCGGUGUCUCGCGGGUGCGCUUGUUAUUCUUGCGGGAUGGCAUUUUCCUAAUGCACGUUGAUAAUCCAGAUCGUAAGUAAUGAUCGUCAUUCCUGGUUGUACUCUAUAAAUUUUGCAUCUUGUUGUAUAAUUCUUACUGCUUCCAUCUACAUCCCUAUGAUGUAUUUGUGGUAGUAGGUAAUCAUAGAUUUGACACGAUCGUUACGUCUACCCUCAGAGGAUAUGGACUGUUUCGGUUUCGAGAUCCUUAAGUACCAUCUUAGUACACGAAGGAGAGUCAUAUCGGAUAGUAGGGAGAGUGGAAAAGAUUGAUCCUAAUUGUGGCGGGAAGUGUCGGGUGGUGGUGCUGAUGAAAUUGAUGCACCUCAGAGACGAGCUACUUGUUGUUCGGUAUCUCGUAGUCUUACUUCUCACACUAACUGUCUUGCUCUAGAGUCUCCAUUCACUUCCUGUGUUUUCCUCUCAUCUCUCUCAAUAGCAAACCACAUUUGUUUUGUUCGAUUUGGGGUGUCCCGAGCUUGGUUAUCAAUACCUCGGGUGCGCUGGACCAUGACCGAGAGGGCCCGGUCAGCUGGUCCUCUAUGACUAAGAUCGAAGAGACCUCGGUUCCUACCAUAGCGUGGUCGUAUCCCUUGCUGGUGACUCUAUCUCCAAAUAUCGUGUGCCCGAGGGGGCAUGGGGCCACCGGGGCCCACACGAUGUGUCAGUACUCUGGCUUUACAUGGAGGAUUGAUGUCAUCGGAUUCUCAUCCGAGUCAUCAUCAUCAUUGCCCUCUGGCUCUUCCCCUUCAAGGUCCACUUAUUUACUCAGCGGGUUCACCUGUGAGUUCCACUUCGUGUUCCUCCUGUGGUUCUUUCUCUGAGUCAAGCCACCCGAUUAUUCCUUGACUAGGGAGGUAGGGUUUCCUGGCUAAUGAUACUCGUCUGUAGCGUAUUGCACGAAGGGCUAUGAAUACUAGAAACAACUAGCAUACCAAUUACUCCUAUAACUCUACGUCUAUUGCAUAGAUUUAGCUGAGGUUCCCUUCUUGGAGAUUAAGGGAUAUGUUUUUAGGUUCCCUAGCUAUCACGAUUUCUUCAAGGCAUGUGAUGNGUUAGUUGUACCUUGGAGGAAAUGUAUUUGAUCAGGCUACAUCCGCUUAUUGAUACUACUAAGAACAAUCCUGAGUUAACCGGGAUACUAGCGUUAUCUUGUUUGGUUCGGCGUUAUGUUCUUAUUCCUAAUGCAAGCAAGGGUGUUUUAUUGUUAUGUUUUACUUGUUUUGUUCAGAGUUGUGUUAGUCCCUCUUUUGGUUUAUAGUUGCAUAUCAAUGUGUGGCUAGAUAUGCUAGUUCACUAUAAACAGAGCUCUGAUACCAACCUGUCACACCCCCGAACCAGACGGCGGAAACGUCCGAGGGCUGUUGUGACUCAAUUGAAUACCAUCACAGUGAAUAUACAUGAAACAUAACAUCAUUCAUCACCAUGCAUUGAAAUAAUACAACUGGUAGUGUUUACAUUUAGUACAUUGUUUCAUAACAUUACAUUCCUAAAAACUAGAUUGUUCGAUACUAGUUAAACAAACAACAAGACAUCACUGAGUACAUUUUUCCCUUCGAUUUACCUGUUACCUGAGAAUACAAGUAUUUUGAAAAACGUCAACAUAUGAAAUGUUGGUGAGUUCAUAAGUAAUGUUUGAAAUAUAAUGUUUUGUAUUGUUUUGAAAACCACCAGAAAAUCCGAUAUUUUCUGAAAAGAGUAUCGUGUAAAAAGUGUGAAGAUCCGUAAGUAUGCUUGUUUGUUUCUAUAAAUGUAAAAAAAAUUGUUAGACUUGGUAUGCAUCUUGUAGGUGUAUGAAUUGAAAACCCUAGGAAAACCCGAUGUUUUCCUAAUACUUUGAAUUACGCGUUUUAUAUUUUGUUAUACCGUUGUGACGUGUGUAUUCGAUAAUUCCAGGUGACAUUGGAUUAAUUAUGGAUUGUGAAUUGUUAUAAACACGCAUUAAUGAAAACGACUAGUUUACAACUAUACAAACGAUCCCUUAGGCGUCGUCCGUACUAUUCACUUAAUCCAACCACCCUAACUUCUCAUAGCCCCACAACCGAGGAGAAAAGAGGGUGCGAAGCCCCCGCUAUUUCCAUAAGUCGUUCAAGGCUAUCGUGAAUGCGAAAGGCCCUUGGCCCGACUCGCAUUGGUGAAUUCUCGACUUUGCUAGCAGUACCAAAAGACCCUUGGGGCCCAACAGCACAAAAGCCAUUGAAAGUCCUUUUACAUGGAAUUAGGUCAUAUAAGACCCAACAACAUGUAAGCGAGUUUCCUUCGGGCCUAAAGAUCAUGUCAUUGGGCUAGCUAGGCCCAACAAGCACGAUUUGAAACUUUCGGGCCCAAAGAUGGUGUAUCGACGU
Molecule: long non-coding RNA, 7564 nt
Filed under: Lactuca sativa (garden lettuce)
Lineage: Eukaryota; Viridiplantae; Streptophyta; Magnoliopsida; Asterales; Asteraceae
Description: long non-coding RNA (LSAT_LNC003400)
Source: RNAcentral